This 255-nucleotide ribosomal RNA is filed under the name uncultured bacterium. RNAcentral describes it as "partial 16S ribosomal RNA". It matches the Rfam family "Bacterial small subunit ribosomal RNA", at positions 524 to 775 of the family's 1533-position model. The record is from RNAcentral.
UACGGAGGGAGCUAGCGUUAUUCGGAAUUACUGGGCGUAAAGCGCACGUAGGCGGCUUUGUAAGUAAGAGGUGAAAGCCUGGAGCUCAACUCCAGAAUUGCCUUUUUAGACUGCAUCGCUUGAAUCAUGGAGAGGUGAGUGGAAUUCCGAGUGUAGAGGUGAAAUUCGUAGAUAUUCGGAAGAACACCAGUGGCGAAAGGCGGCUCACUGGCCCGGUACUGAACGCUGAGGUGCGAAAGCGUGGGGAGCAACAGG